CCUGGCUCAGGAUGAACGCUAGCGGCAGGCUUAACACAUGCAAGUCGAGGGGCAGCGGGGAUUGUGCUUGCACAAUUUGCCGGCGACCGGCGCACGGGUGCGUAACGCGUAUGCAACCUACCCAUAACAGGGGGAUAACACUGAGAAAUUGGUACUAAUACCCCGUAAUAUUAUUUGAGGCAUCUCAGAUAGUUGAAAGUUCCGGCGGUUAUGGAUGGGCAUGCGUUGUAUUAGCUAGUUGGUGGGGUAACGGCUCACCAAGGCGACGAUACAUAGGGGGACUGAGAGGUUAACCCCCCACAUUGGUACUGAGACACGGACCAAACUCCUACGGGAGGCAGCAGUGAGGAAUAUUGGUCAAUGGACGCAAGUCUGAACCAGCCAUGCCGCGUGCAGGAAGACGGCUCUAUGAGUUGUAAACUGCUUUUGUAUGAGGGUAAAAUUGGGUACGUGUACCCAACUGAAAGUAUCAUACGAAUAAGGAUCGGCUAACUCCGUG
RNAcentral lists this ribosomal RNA (499 nucleotides) under uncultured bacterium. Its description in RNAcentral is "bacterial SSU rRNA". It matches the Rfam family "Bacterial small subunit ribosomal RNA", at positions 18 to 507 of the family's 1533-position model. The record is from RNAcentral.